CCGAGUGAGGGUCCCAGAAGGGACCCAAUCUCCCACCCGUGUUUAACUGUAGCCAUGUUGCUUUGGCGGGCCCACUAGGACCCGGUUCCUGGUCGCCGAGGGGGAAUCCCCCCUGGGCCUGUGCCCGCCGGAGACCAUCAAAAACACUCUCUGAACUUUAAGCUGGUCUGAGUGAACUUUGUGGACAAAAUUAUUUUUGA
This 200-nucleotide unclassified non-coding RNA is filed under the name uncultured Eurotiales. RNAcentral describes it as "sequence contains ITS1". Lineage: Eukaryota; Fungi; Ascomycota; Eurotiomycetes; Eurotiales. The record is from RNAcentral.